RNAcentral lists this long non-coding RNA (1398 nucleotides) under Struthio camelus australis. Its description in RNAcentral is "lncRNA (ENSSCUG00000017463.1)". Lineage: Eukaryota; Metazoa; Chordata; Aves; Struthioniformes; Struthionidae. The record is from RNAcentral.
AAUAGCCAGUCAGCACAGAAACCUUGUUUCUGAAGCUGUUUUGACUUCUGCCAACUUAAUUUUCUGUGAGCUUCACAGCUACUGACUGCAGUGCUCAGCAGCAGGGAUGUGAAGGUUUGGGGAAGGCAAGGAUGAUCCCUGCCUGCUGAGUGGACAGGACUUAUCUCGUUCUUUACUAUCCUGUCACUGCUGGCUCCUUCUUACCUAGGGCCAAAGAGAAAACAGAGGAAGUGCAGGUCCUAAAUUGUGUUCUCAGACACACAGAACCAUGUUUGCACAGAUUUGUGCUCUAUGACUGCUGAAUUUCCUCUUUUUUCUUCCUCUACCAGGUGAUGCAUCUGUGAAAAUGGGAUUUGUUGUCAUAUUUGCAACAGACAACAGCUAAUAUUUGUAGACUAUACUUCACUGGUAUGCUUAGAAGCAGGAAGAGUCCCCAGUUUUGACUCUGAGCAUUAACGAGUCUGUUACCUUUGCCUGCAAAACAGUAUCUUUAACCCAAUGAUAAAAAGGGUGGUGGGGUCUACUAACCACAACAGUCCAAUCAAUUGAGAUAUUUUCACCAUCUGUCUGUGGGUUUAAAAAUCUGGGCGUGGGCUACAGGAAACUGUUGGUGAAGAUGUCUGGACUCAAGAUUCCAGUUUUUGGAGGUCUAUUGGAAGGUGACACUGAAGGCCGUGAGGACCUGGAUGAGAAAACAUCUCACUAGCAAAUGUUCUGUUUUAGUUAAAUCAGCAUGUUGGAGGAUAGAGACUCAUGCAUGAAACCAAGAAAGGCUUGACUAAGGAAGCGUAAGGUGGAGAGUGUGCAGCUCUGGAUGAAAUAAUGGGACAUCUAAUGGCUAUACAGGACCAGGAAUCCAUAGAUGACAUUUGCAAACCCUUAAAGUUGACCUCUUCAGAACUUGUGCGUAGCAGCUGCCAGAACAGAUCUAUGAAAACGGGAGGUUGUUAGGAAUUACCUGAAAAGUGGAAGGAUCUUGAAAAGAUUGCCUUCACUGUAAAGCAUGAAGUGGUACCUCUGCAGUCCAAUGAAGUGUCUGUUAUCAGAAGAAAACCUGUACUUUUGGAGGUGAGAUCAGUUCUGUGCUCUGAACCAAAUGAUUUUUCGUUUUUUGUUCUGAUAACAAGCUGGUGGCAAGCUUCACUGAACUGAGAAAUUGUAAACUCUUAGAAAAGGCUGUCUAAAGAUAACAAUUCAAUGUUUCUCAGUAAUGUAUUCUGGAUGAAUCUGAUAAUUUAAAGCCCACUCCACCAAAAUGGGAGUGAUGCUUGUGUCCUCUUUAUCUUCAAUUAUGUCUAAUCUUUUUCUAAUUCAAACAUGGUGCUGCUGUUGUCAGAUCAAAUAUAGAUUUUAAAUGUUUUAUGCUUCUUCACUGGGAACGUUUUAAAUGUAUGCAGG